This 253-nucleotide ribosomal RNA is filed under the name uncultured bacterium. RNAcentral's name for it is "partial 16S ribosomal RNA". It matches the Rfam family "Bacterial small subunit ribosomal RNA", at positions 524 to 776 of the family's 1533-position model. The record is from RNAcentral.
GACAUAGGUGGCGAACGUUAUCCGGAAUUAUUGGGCGUAAAGGGCGCGUAGGCGGUGCGGUAAGUCACCUGUGAAAUCUCCUGGCUCAACUGGGAGCUUGCAGGCGAAACUGCCGUGCUGGAGUGUGGGAGAGGUGCGUGGAAUUCCUGGUGUAGCGGUGAAAUGCGUAGAUAUCAGGAGGAACACCUGUGGCGAAAGCGGCGCACUGGACCACAACUGACGCUGAGGCGCGAAAGCUAGGGGAGCAAACAGG